Non-coding RNA from Notechis scutatus (mainland tiger snake), 80 nucleotides. The record is from RefSeq and is a predicted model, not a curated record. NCBI's taxonomy places the organism in Eukaryota, Metazoa, Chordata, Lepidosauria, Squamata, Elapidae.
UGGGAGCCGCCCAGAGUUGGUUGAAAGAUGGGCUGCUAUAUAGUGUUUUAAAUAAAUAAAUGAAAAUCAUAAAAUCAUAU